RNAcentral lists this ribosomal RNA (467 nucleotides) under uncultured bacterium. Its description in RNAcentral is "partial 16S ribosomal RNA". It matches the Rfam family "Bacterial small subunit ribosomal RNA", at positions 29 to 507 of the family's 1533-position model. The record is from RNAcentral.
ACGAACGCUGGCGGCGUGCUUCACCCCUGCACGUCGAACGGAAAGGCCCUGCUUUUGUGGGGUGCUCGAGUGGCGAACGGGUGAGUAACACGUGAGUAACCUGCCCUUGACUUUGGGAUAACUUCAGGAAACUGGGGCUAAUACCGGAUAGGAGCUCCUGCUGCAUGGUGGGGGUUGGAAAGUUUCGGCGGUUGGGGAUGGACUCGCGGCUUAUCAGCUUGUUGGUGGGGUAGUGGCUUACCAAGGCUUUGACGGGUAGCCGGCCUGAGAGGGUGACCGGCCACAUUGGGACUGAGAUACGGCCCAGACUCCUACGGGAGGCAGCAGUGGGGAAUAUUGCACAAUGGGCGGAAGCCUGAUGCAGCAACGCCGCGUGCGGGAUGACGGCCUUCGGGUUGUAAACCGCUUUCGCCUGUGACGAAGCGUGAGUGACGGUAAUGGGUAAAGAAGCACCGGCUAACUACGUG